GAUGAACGCUGGCGGCGUGCCUAAUACAUGCAAGUCGAGCGAACAGACGAGGAGCUUGCUCCUCUGACGUUAGCGGCGGACGGGUGAGUAACACGUGGAUAACCUACCUAUAAGACUGGGAUAACUUCGGGAAACCGGAGCUAAUACCGGAUAAUAUAUUGAACCGCAUGGUUCAAUAGUGAAAGACGGUUUUGCUGUCACUUAUAGAUGGUUCCGCGCCGCAUUAGCUAGUUGGUAGGGUAACGGCUUACCAAGGCGACGAUGCGUAGCCGACCUGAGAGGGUGAUCGGCCACACUGGAACGGAGACACGGUCCAGACUCCUACGGGAGGCAGCAGUAGGGAAUGUUACGCAGUGGGCGAAAGCCUGACGGAGCAACGCCGCGUGAGUGAUGAAGGUCUUCGGAUCGUAAAACUCUGUUAUUAGGGAAGAACAAAUGUGUAAGUAACUAUGCACGUCUUGACGGUACCGAAUCAGAAAGCCCCGGCUAACUACGUG
This 497-nucleotide ribosomal RNA is filed under the name uncultured bacterium. RNAcentral's name for it is "partial 16S ribosomal RNA". It matches the Rfam family "Bacterial small subunit ribosomal RNA", at positions 28 to 507 of the family's 1533-position model. The record is from RNAcentral.